This 1576-nucleotide long non-coding RNA is filed under the name Coffea arabica (coffee). RNAcentral describes it as "long non-coding RNA (CARA_LNC005887)". Lineage: Eukaryota; Viridiplantae; Streptophyta; Magnoliopsida; Gentianales; Rubiaceae. The record is from RNAcentral.
AUGGAAAUGCAUCUGGUAGUAAUAGCUGGUAAUGCAUCCUUCUCAUACGAAUAGUUGAAUUACAAUACUAAUGUGAAUUGUUGCUAUUCUGAUCCUUUAACUUAAUGAUUCUGGGGCUGAUGUUAUGCAUCAUUGUGGACUGUUUUUGAUAAUAGCAUUUUUUGGGGCUGAUGUGACCUGUUUUUGGGUAACUUGUGGUCACUGUGGACUGUUUUUUGGUAAUAGUUGGUAAUAGUAUUUUUUGGGGCUGAUGUUAUGCAUCAUUGCGGACUAUUUUUUGUUAUAGUUGUGUAGUUUAUGGUUAUGGUUAUGGCUGAUCUGUAGUUUUUGGUAACUUGUGGUCACUGUGGACUGUUUUAGGGUAAUAGCUGGUAAUAACAUUUUUUGGGGCUGAUGUUAUGCAUCAUUGUGGACUGUUUUUUGUUAUGGUUGUGUAGUUUAUGGUUAUGGUUGUGGCUGAUGUGUAGUUUUUGGUAACUUAUGGUCAUUGUGGACUGUUUUUUGGUAAUAGCUAGUAAUAACAUUUUUUGGGGCAGAUGUUAUCCAUCAUUGUGGACUAUUUUUUGUUAUGGUUGUGUAGUUUAUGGUUAUGGUUAUGGGACUGAUGGUUGUGUAAUAACAUUUUUUGGGGCUGAUGUUAUGCAUCAUUGUUAUCUGAACUUAUUCUUUGGGAAAUAUCUAGGUAUCAUGUAUAUAGUGCUGUUAGUUUAUCAAUAGAAAGGUAAAAAUCUGAUUGUUCAUCUGCAAUAGUAUAUUAUUUCCAAGUACAAGCGACAGACCAUGCAUGGAUAGCAAUCUUCUUUUUGCCUAUGUAGUGACUUGAAAGAAAUGAAUAUAAUGCAAAGGGGGCGUUUGUGAACUUUGAUUGGUUUCACCUGUUUAGAUGGUCUUCACUUUCACAUUGCGAGGCAAAUAGCUUAUUCUCUUUGCACAGUUUAAUCCUACAGAGGCAUCGUUUCCUUCAUGAUUUAUGAAACAUAAACUCCUAAAAUCAAAGAGGGCUAGUACCUCCUGUAUUCACACCUCGUACAAUAAGUUGUUUUCUGUGUUUUAAUAUAUAAACAACCAAAAGCAUAAAGAUUAAACAAUAAUUACUGUGGGAGUCCAAUUUAAUUGUUCAAUAAGUUGAGCUAUUUAAAGAAGAAGAAAGAAAAUAAAAAAAAAACUGUUUUAGAGAGCUCUUUAGUUGAGCUAUGCACUGUUGUAUUUGUAUAGAUUGGACUGUGAUUUCUAACUUCUUGCUGGUGUUGUAAUAUGUGGGCCCAAAUUAUAUGAGAUUCUUAAUGAAUUGUAAUUUUUGUCUUAAUAAUCUAAGUCUCAUUACUUGUUCUUUAUUAUUGUACUCCUCCCCUUACCUACUUCUUUUACUCUUUUAUGACAGAUAAAUGCUAUUCAUACUAGCUUUUGGAAGAUAUCUAUGGUUAUGGUUGAAGAAUGUUUAAGACAAAAUUGCCUUUUGCUCAUGGAGUGGUUCAUUUAGAUGUUCUUCAAUUUCUUAAACUGUGAUUGCUUUUAUAAAUGUAUCUUAUGUACAAUGAUAUUUUGGACAAAUGUUAUUUUUGUAGGCAUUAGUUGG